RNAcentral lists this ribosomal RNA (171 nucleotides) under uncultured Desulfomicrobium sp. RNAcentral describes it as "partial 16S ribosomal RNA". It matches the Rfam family "Bacterial small subunit ribosomal RNA", at positions 359 to 524 of the family's 1533-position model. The record is from RNAcentral. Lineage: Bacteria; Pseudomonadati; Thermodesulfobacteriota; Desulfovibrionia; Desulfovibrionales; Desulfomicrobiaceae.
UGGUAUCCCAUGGGGGCGAGGCCUGACGCAGCACGCCGUGUGAGGGAUGAAGGCUUUCGGGUCGUAAACCUCUGUCGGAAGGGAAGAACGGGCAUUGGUCUAAUAGGCCUUUGUUUUGACGGUACCUUUAGAGGAAGCACCGGCUAACUCCGUGCCAGCAGCCGCGGUAAU